GCGGUGGACGCACAUAUGAGUAUUUAUUACUGUUAUGAUGAUGAUGAUAUAUAUUGAGCUCAAAUCCUGCACCAUGGUUUAGUGCUUAUAGUAUUCACCGCAUCGCACGCUCGCCUUGGAUCCAAGUAGAUGCUAGUCGUACAGUCCACCGGAGUGGGUACGACAGACCAGUCGCGAGAGUGUUAGUGAGAUUCCGACUGGUGGU
RNAcentral lists this long non-coding RNA (205 nucleotides) under Malus domestica (apple). RNAcentral describes it as "long non-coding RNA (MDOM_LNC020345)". Lineage: Eukaryota; Viridiplantae; Streptophyta; Magnoliopsida; Rosales; Rosaceae. The record is from RNAcentral.